Molecule: long non-coding RNA, 462 nt
Filed under: Naja naja (Indian cobra)
Lineage: Eukaryota; Metazoa; Chordata; Lepidosauria; Squamata; Elapidae
Description: lncRNA (ENSNNAG00000015512.1)
Source: RNAcentral
CCUCGAUUCACUUCGGCCCAGGCAACCAGCCGAGUCCUCGGCCGAGUCAGCUGGGACGGCAAGAGCGGGGUAGAGGAGUGGGGUUGGCCACCAUCUUUGGGAAACGGGAUUCCGGUCGAGUGAGGGAGCGAGCGAGCAAGCCAACACACAGGACGGAGAGGUACUCACUCAGAGAUAUUUGAAAGUAACUCCACCAAACACUACUGCAAGACCUGCCACUACCAUGGCAACAAAAUAUCUUGAAAAUGCUAAAGAAUAUAGAUAAAAAAGUGUUCCAUGGGAUAUGUCUGUGUCAUACUUACAAAAAUCUAGAAGGAGAUACUCUUCACCUUUACAUGAUGCCAUGAAGCUCAUUGAAGUCCAGUCAUUAUUUUAUUCUUAGAAGGUUAGAGAACAGGUAUGAAAAUAAUCAUGGGAAAUAAUUGGUGUUCUAUAGUUUGCUUAUCCAAAAUGCAAGUCUAU